This 3074-nucleotide long non-coding RNA is filed under the name Homo sapiens (human). RNAcentral describes it as "HSALNT0371026". Lineage: Eukaryota; Metazoa; Chordata; Mammalia; Primates; Hominidae. The record is from RNAcentral.
GCUGCAUGUCUUUUUCGUGGGGGGUGAUCCUCUGCAGAUCCCCCCAUUUGCGGACCCGCCAUGUGGAGGAGGCAUUUGGGGGGCUCAGAAGGAAAUUAGCUCGGCUUCCAUACCUAUAAGGACUGCCUAACUUUUAAACUCCCGGCACUCAAAGAUGUGGACACACACACGUACAGGAAAUACAGCCAGACCAGAGCCUUUGCAGUCCGCAGCUGACCGGAAGACGUUGCCUUUCAUUCAUUCAUUCUGCCCGCCUCUGUGGACUCCUUUACUAGGCGACCAGCCCUGAAACAGAAGUUGGACAUUUUUUAAAGGUUCUUGCGCUCGGCAAGGGGAGCAGAUAGAUGCUCAGGAGCGAAAGACGCAGAGAAUUGGAUCUGGCGCCUCCUAACGCAGCCCGCACAGGAGCGAAGGAGAGUGUGACGAUCCCCCUGAUGCGGCUGAGAUGUUCUGAAAUGAAGACGUUGGCUCUCAUCCCCAGCCUGAAGAGAGAAAAUUCUGAGAUGGCUCCCUUACAGAUUGAGAGCAGGUGAGUUUACCUCUACUCUCACGCAAAACUCUCAUUCAGAACACCUGUCACAACUAAUAGACUACUCACGUGUCCACAGUCUAACACCACUCAAUAAAAGGAAAAUUCCCCGUCUAAUCCCAGCACUACAGGAGGCCAAGGCAGGAGGCUCACUUGAGAGCCCAGAAGUUUGAGAACAGCCUAGGCAACAUAAUUAGGCCCUGUCUCUGUUAAAAAAAAAAAAAAAAAAAAAGGAAAAGUCUCUGAGGAGUCUGAGGAGACCAACCUUGUUCGUCCUCUUCACUAUUUUAUUUAUUUAUUUAUUUAUUUAUUUAUUUAUUUUGAGACAGAGUCUCGCUCUGUCGCCCAGGCUGGAGUGCAGUGGCACCAAUCUCGGCUCACUGCAAGCUCCACCUCCCGGGUUCACGCCAUUCUCCUGCCUCAGCCUCCCCAGUAGCUAGGACCACAGGCGCCCACCAUCACACCCGGCUAAUUUUUUGUAUUUUUAGUACAGACGGGGUUUCACCGUGUUAGCCAAGUUGGUCUCGAUCUCCUGACCUCGUGAUCCACCCGCCUCAGCCUCCCAAAGUGCUGGGAUUACAGGUGUGAGCCACUGCACCCGGCCUCUUCACUGUUUAUUUUCAGGUCCUAGGACCCAGCUCAUAAAACAUACUCAACGAAUGUUUGUUGAAUGAAUGAAUUCCUCAACCUCCAAAACUAUGUAUAUUUUCAGCUUGAUCAACUAUCCUUAAAGUGUACCUCUUUGAACAAGAUACCGGCUGGGUGCGGUGGCUCAUGCCUGUAAUCCCAGCACUUUGGGAGGCCAAGGCAGGCAGAUCACCUGAAGUCAGGAGUUUGAGACCAGCCUUGCCAACAUGGUGAAACCCUAUCUCUACUAAAAAUACAAAAAUUAGCCGGGCAUUGUGGUGGGCACCUGUAGUCCCAGCUACUCAGGAGGCCGAGGCAGGAGAAUCGCUUGAACCCGGAAGGUUAAGGUUGCAGUGAGCCGAGAUGGCGCAGCUGCACUCCAGCCUGGGUGACAGAGUGAAACUGUGUCUCAAAAAAAAAAAAGUCCUGACACACUGGCUCACGCCUGUAAUCCUAGCACUUUGGGAGGCCAAGACGAGCAGAUUGCCUGAACUCAGGAGUUUGAGACCAGCCUGGGUAACAUGGUGAAACCCCGUGUCUACUAAAACACAAAAAAUUAGCCAGGGGUCGCAGUGUGCGCUUGUAGUUCCAGCUACUCGGAAGGUUGAAGCAGAAUUGCUUGAACCCAACAGGCGGAGGUGCAGUGAGCUGAGAUCAUGCCACUGCACUCCAGCCUGGGUGACAGAGGCAAGACUCCGUCUCCAAAAAAAAAAGAUACCAAGUUUCUUAGAGGUAUAAAAAAUACGUUGGUGUGCCUUGGCGAGGCGGGAACACCUUUCUAGCUCCAAAGUCCAGACCCUUACCCACUCUAUUCCACACUGCCACCCUUAUUCAUGACACCUGUUGCACACAAACUGAGUCAUGGGGACCAGCCAUCAUUGCUCGCAGCUGAGGCCUAAAAACGCGUACCCUGCGUCCCCUCCACCGCCACCAGCCAGCAGUCUGGGAGGCACCCCUAGCUCAUGAUGCCGGGUAGAGGAGGGGCCGCUGUUUGCAUGUGACUCUAGCUUCCUCACUGCUAGGCUGUGCCUAAUUAUUUUAUUUUUAUUUAUUUAUCUAUCUAUUUAUUUAUUUAUUUAUUGAGACGGAGUCUUGCUCUGUCGCCCAGGCUCGAGUGCAGUAGCGCCAUCUUGGCUCACUGCAAGCUCCGCCUCCCGGGUUCACGCCAUUCUCCUGCCUCAGCCUCCCAAGGAGCUGGGACUACAGGCGCCCGCCACCACGCCCGGCUAAUUUUUUGUAUUUUUAAUAGAUACGGGGUUUCACCGUGCUAGCCAGGAUGAUCUCGAUCUACUGACCUCGUGAUCCGCCCGCCUCGGCCUCCCAAAGUGCUGGGAUUAUAGGCGUGAGCCACCGCGCCCGGCGGCUGUGGCUAAUUAUUAGGUAACUAGCGUCGUUGGGUCUCCCUACCUGAAGGCCUAAAGGCUGGAGAUAAGAGGGCUGAAGGGGAGUAGAGCCAGGACUGGUGGGCCUGGGAGCCACCAAUAGUCCCAGAAGAUCCUACGGGGACUUUGCCUUCUGCUCCUGAUCUCUGGAAUCGAUUCAUCAGCCUGAGCUUCGACUCCAGCCUCUGCAUCCGCUUCUCCCAAGGUGAUUCCUCAAUGUCUGCUCUGGGCACCUCAUGGAUGCAUCGCAAGGGCUUUAGGGAGUCCUCUGCUCACAGGGAUUGACCUACCCGCUUGCCAGGUCUCAAGCUCUUGAGAGAAAGCCUGAUGCUCUUUUUGUCUUCACCUCCAUCCUAGGCACUGGGUAGGAACACAGCCAAGAACGAUUGCAGGAUGGGUCCUUCCAGGACACUGACGUCUCAGCUUGCGCACUGUGAGUCCCUGGACGAGUUACUCCACCUCUCUGAACCUCCUCCUCACUUGCAUAAUGGGAAAAAUAAUGGACAUAGGAAGAUGAAACAAGACCUUGGAGACCA